AAGAUUAAAAACUCAAAGGAAUUGACGGGGGCCCGCACAAGCAGCGGAGCAUGUGGUUUAAUUCGAGGCAACGCGAAGAACCUUACCUAGACUUGACAUCUCCUGAAUUACCCUUAACCGGGGAAGCCCUUCGGGGCAGGAAGACAGGUGGUGCAUGGUUGUCGUCAGCUCGUGUCGUGAGAUGUUGGGUUAAGUCCCGCAACGAGCGCAACCCCUAUUGUCAGUUGCUACCAUUAAGUUGAGCACUCUGGCGAGACUGCCCGGGUUAACCGGGAGGAAGGUGGGGAUGACGUCAAAUCAUCAUGCCCCUUACGUCUAGGGCUACACACGUGCUACAAUGGCAGGUACAAAGAGACGCGAUCCCGCGAGGGGGAGCAAAUCCCAUAAAACCUGCCCCAGUUCAGAUUGCAGGCUGCAACUCGCCUGCAUGAAGUUGGAGUUGCUAGUAAUCGCGAAUCAGCAUGUCGCGGUGAAUACGUUCCCGGGCCUUGUACACACCGCCCGUCACACCAUGAGAGUUGGCAAUACCCGAAGUCCGUGAGGUAACUAGUAAUAGAGCCAGCGGCCGAAGGUAGGGUCAGCGNAAUGGGGUGAAGUCGUAACAAGGUAGCCGUAGGAGAACCNNNNANNGGAUCACCUCCUU
Molecule: ribosomal RNA, 643 nt
Filed under: uncultured bacterium
Lineage: Bacteria
Description: bacterial SSU rRNA
Rfam family: Bacterial small subunit ribosomal RNA
Source: RNAcentral